Molecule: non-coding RNA, 29 nt
Filed under: Mus musculus (house mouse)
Lineage: Eukaryota; Metazoa; Chordata; Mammalia; Rodentia; Muridae
Source: RNAcentral
UCAUAAUGCCUGCUAAUAAAGUUUUAUUG